This 722-nucleotide small RNA is filed under the name Pongo abelii (Sumatran orangutan). RNAcentral's name for it is "processed transcript". The record is from RNAcentral. Lineage: Eukaryota; Metazoa; Chordata; Mammalia; Primates; Hominidae.
CUCCUUUGCACUGAUCAGCUAUCAGCACAAAUUCCAAGAUGACGAUCAGACUCGUGUGAAAGGAUCCCUCAAAGCAGGCUUCUUUGGGACGGUGGUGGAGUAUGGAGCUGAGAGGAAGAUCUCCAGGCAUAGCGUUUUGGGUGCAGCUGUCAGCAUUGGAGUUCCACAGGGCGUUUCUCUGAAAGUCAAGCUCAACAGGGCCAGUCAGACAUACUUCUUCCCUAUUCACUUGACGGACCAGCUUCUGCCCAGCGCCGUGUUCUAUGCCACCAUGGGGCCUCUAGUGGUCUACUUUGCCAUGCACCGUCUGAUCAUCAAACCAUACCUCAGGGCUCAGAAAGAGAAGGAAUUGGAGAAGCAGAGGGAAAGCGCCGCCACCGAUGUGCUGCAGAAGAAGCAAGAGGCGGAGUCCGCUGUGAGUGUUGCCCCGCCGUUCUUAAGCGAGGGCUGUAGGGGACACACUCCACACCCCACAUGUUGGUCUCAGGGCCUUAGAUGGCAGACUUCUCUUCUCCAGCAACUUGGCUAUUUAGUCUCUAUUGUGGGAUGCGGUGCUGGGCUCUGCAGUCCCUGCCCUGAAGAUAAUUACCCUCCAAAGGCAUAACAAGGGCUUUUUUUAAAGUGGUCCGGCUGAUGCAGGAAUCUGUCCGAAGGAUAAUUGAGGCAGAAGAGUCCAGAAUGGGCCUCAUCAUUGUCAAUGCCUGGUACGGGAAGUUUGUCAA